GACGUAGGGGGCAAGCGUUGUCCGGAAUUACUGGGCGUAAAGAGCUCGUAGGUGGGACUAUAAGUCGAUGAGUAAAUAUCUCGGCUCAACUGAGAUGCCAUUGUCGAUACUGUAGUUCUUGAGGACAGGAGAGGAAAGUGGAAUUCCCGGUGUAGCGGUGAAAUGCGUAGAGAUCGGGAGGAACACCAGUGGCGAAGGCGGCUUUCUGGCCUGAUUCUGACACUGAGGAGCGAAAGCCAGGGGAGCGAACGGG
Molecule: ribosomal RNA, 253 nt
Filed under: uncultured bacterium
Lineage: Bacteria
Description: partial 16S ribosomal RNA
Rfam family: Bacterial small subunit ribosomal RNA
Source: RNAcentral